This 662-nucleotide long non-coding RNA is filed under the name Panax ginseng (ginseng). Its description in RNAcentral is "long non-coding RNA (PGIN_LNC011945)". Lineage: Eukaryota; Viridiplantae; Streptophyta; Magnoliopsida; Apiales; Araliaceae. The record is from RNAcentral.
AACAACAAUAAAAUAAACAUCAAUUUGCUAGAGACUAAUUAGUGCAACUGCAACAACCAACAUGUCGGGAAGCCAACUGCCAAGAGAGAAAGCAUUCACCAGCCUAACACCAAAACUUCAUCCUACAACAGCACCUGAGUGAAUAUCCCAUGCAGCGGACCACAGUCCCAAAUAGCUAAACCAUCCAUUAGCAGGUAUCCCCAAACCCAAACCAAACAUAGGCACAACACAAAAUAGACCCAAAACAAGGGCAUUUCACGCUCAGCUAGAAGUUGCUGAACCAAGAGGAGAAUCACAACCCUCCCCAGCACAAUUAAGGAUGGACUGCAGCUGCUCAAACCCAACCAGCAAGAAGCAUCCGAAACAGCCCCACAUCAGCUAAAUCAUAAAGACACAGACCAGCAGUACAGCAGCCCGGCAGCUAAAUCAUAAAGACACAUCUGCAUUGCCCAGCCAGCAACACAGCAGCUAAAUAGUAACAAGAUAGCCAAAAUUUGCUAGCAACAACCAGCAAGUGGAAACAGCUGUCGAGAAACCAGCUGCACGAAAAUAGUCCAGCCCAUGCUCAACACCUACAAACAAAUGGAUUGAAAUAGAUUGAGACCAGAAACAACCAAACAUCAGGCAGAACUGCAAGACAGCCAAAAUUUGCCCAGCAGCAC